Homo sapiens (human) is the source of this 163-nucleotide long non-coding RNA. Ensembl annotates it as HOXA transcript antisense RNA, myeloid-specific 1. Its record names the gene HOTAIRM1. The record is from Ensembl. Lineage: Eukaryota; Metazoa; Chordata; Mammalia; Primates; Hominidae.
GACACCCCCAGGUUCCCGGAAGUCUGGCAGCCUAGGCGGCGGCAGCUGCUGCGGCGACUGCAAAGGCCGAUUUGGAGUGCUGGAGCGAAGAAGAGCAAAAGCUGCGUUCUGCGCGCGCCCGACUCCGCUGCCCGCCCCGCCAGGCCUCCGGGAGGUGGGGGCU